GAUGAACGCUGGCGGCGUGCCUAAUACAUGCAAGUCGAGCGAACGGACGAGAAGCUUGCUUCUCUGAUGUUAGCGGCGGACGGGUGAGUAAUACGUGGAUAACCUACCUAUAAGACUUGGAUAACUUCGGGAAACCGGAGCUAAUACCGGAUGAUAUUUUGAACCGCAUGGUUCAAAAGUGAAAGACGGUCUUGCUGUCACUUAUAGAUGGAUCCGCGCUGCAUUAGAUAGUUGGUAAGGUAACGGCUUACCAAGGCAACGAUGCAUAGCCGACCUGAGAGGGUGAUCGGCCACACUGGAACUGAGACACGGUCCAGACUCCUACGGGAGGCAGCAGUAGGGUAUCUUCCGCAAUGGGCGAGAGCCUGACGGAGCAGCGCCGCGUGAGUGAUGAAGGUCUUCGGAUCGUAAAACUCUGUUAUUAGGGAAGAACAUAUGUGUAAGUAACUGUGCACAUCUUGACGGUACCUAAUCAGAAAGCCACGGCUAACUACGUG
This 497-nucleotide ribosomal RNA is filed under the name uncultured bacterium. RNAcentral describes it as "partial 16S ribosomal RNA". It matches the Rfam family "Bacterial small subunit ribosomal RNA", at positions 28 to 507 of the family's 1533-position model. The record is from RNAcentral.